CUGAAAUUUUAAAUGUAUGCUCUAUAGAUGAUGAGAAGACGUCCAAAUAAUGCAUCUUAAGAAAUCAACCCCUUUUUGGGGUAAAAACGGGGGAUGGUAGGUUGACUCACUGAUCACGAAAUCUCCGAAACUAUAACACCUACAAACUUGAAAUUUGGCAGGAAGGCUUUUUAUAGAGCGUAGACAUCCGCUAAGAACGGAUUUUACGAAACUCGACCCCUAAGGGGGCAAAACGGGGGUUGCAAGUUUGUAUGAAAGUCCUAUGUUUUUGAAGUAAGAGACCUGAAAUUUUAAAUGUAUGCUCUAUAGAUGAUGAGAAGACGUCCAAAUAAUGCAUCUUAAGAAAUC
RNAcentral lists this unclassified non-coding RNA (348 nucleotides) under Melitaea cinxia (Glanville fritillary). Its description in RNAcentral is "misc RNA ENSMCXG00005011907.1". The record is from RNAcentral. Lineage: Eukaryota; Metazoa; Arthropoda; Insecta; Lepidoptera; Nymphalidae.